GGAGGGGGAGGGGAUGGAAGGUUCCGGAGAAGGUGCGGUCGGGGCAGGAGCCAGCUCCGCUCCUCCUUGGCACCGGCUGCUGAUGCCAAGGUUACUCCUCCCCUGGACCCUGGGCUGGCCUUCAGUCUCUGCCCGUGGAGACAGGCCCAGCGUCCCCACUGCCUCCUGACUGCGGUUUCCCGAGGGAGGCCACUAAGCCAAGCCACCCUAACUGGCCAACCCUCAGAAUCGUGAGAAAUAAUAAACCGACAUUUUUCCAAGUUUUAUUUCUAAUUGAGACCUCAUGGUGCAUAUUCGUGGAGCGCUGUGGUAUUCUGACACUGGACGCGAGGCAUCGUGACCACAUCAGGAUGAUCAGCACAGCCAAGUGUUCACCUUUUCUCUGAGUUGGGAACAUUCAAAGGCCUCUCGACUUGCUAAGGCUUUUGUCCUUUAAGUCACCCAUGUGCGGGCUGUUUUGUUACACACCAAAACUCACUGAUACAAACGAAAUCCUCAAGAGAAAAUGGAGGCUCCCGUCUGCGACGUGCUCCACCAAGCGGGAGGCUGAGUUGGUGGCUGUUCAGGCUCCAGAAGCCAGGAUGUCAACUCCCAGCCUGGCAAACCCAGGACCUUGAACCUGCGUCCCUCCCCCGGUUCUGCUCAACUCAAGGUCGUUUCUUGGGAAACUUGUUGAAAUUGUCUCCGUGGUAAACCAGGUUUUGCUCACUACAUUUGAGUCUGAGGCACCAGCAACUGUUUCAAAAAGAGAACGGAGAGGAAGCACACUCCCAGCCGGCUGAGCUGCUGUCCUCAGCAAGCCCGGCUCACAGGGCGGCCUUGGGGGCGCCUGGAGCACCCACUAGCUACUCCCAAGGGAUGAGCGUCCCGGGGCCUGGCCUGUUGGCGUGCGAUGGGGUCAGGCUGGGCACCUGCCCUGCUGCUCUGGGCCGAGAUCUGGGUCUGGUGUGCUCGGGCUUCUCCCCAGGCACUUGGGGACUGGCUGUGUGACCUUUCACUGUCACUGAUCACGGCUCUGAGACCAAAUGCAGGGUCUCCUCAUGGAACCAGGAACCUGGGACCGUCUCCGGGACCCCUGGCUGACCCUGUGUCUGGAGGGCCGCUCAGAGUGGCAGUGUCAUGGUUCCACUCCUGAGACUCUCUCGGCGCCUCCUCUGAGAAGCCUCCCUGGACUUCAUCUCUGCCCCCACUGUCCCCAUGUCCCCGCGGCCUGGUCAUGUUGAACAGCUGGUGUGACUACAGUCUGGGGCCAGGACUCGGUGGGCAGCUGAGAGUUUGGUAGACCCCACACUGGGGAGCCCUGGGGACCUGGGUCAGACCGAGUAGCACUACCUCACUGGGCGAUCUCCUAUCAGCCUUCUUUCUGUCUG
RNAcentral lists this long non-coding RNA (1370 nucleotides) under Marmota monax (woodchuck). Lineage: Eukaryota; Metazoa; Chordata; Mammalia; Rodentia; Sciuridae. The record is from RNAcentral.